Molecule: ribosomal RNA, 433 nt
Filed under: uncultured bacterium
Lineage: Bacteria
Description: partial 16S ribosomal RNA
Rfam family: Bacterial small subunit ribosomal RNA
Source: RNAcentral
AGCGAACGCUGGCGGCAGGCUUAACACAUGCAAGUCGAGCGGGCACUUCGGUGUCAGCGGCAGACGGGUGAGUAACACGUGGGAACGUACCCUUCGGUUCGGAAUAACGCUGGGAAACUAGCGCUAAUACCGGAUACGCCCUUUUGGGGAAAGGUUUACUGCCGAAGGAUCGGCCCGCGUCUGAUUAGCUAGUUGGUGGGGUAAUGGCCUACCAAGGCGACGAUCAGUAGCUGGUCUGAGAGGAUGAUCAGCCACACUGGGACUGAGACACGGCCGAGACUCCUACGGGAGGCAGCAGUGGGGAAUAUUGGACAAUGGGCGCAAGCCUGAACCAGCCAUGCCGCGUGAGGGAUGAAGGCCGUAGGGUUGUAAAGCUCUUUUGUCCGAGACGAUAAUGACGGUACCGGAAGAAUAAGCCCCGGCUAACUUCGUG